GGGGGAUAGAGGUAGUUUUAGGUGAGGGGGGAUAGAUGUAGUUUGAGGUGAGAUGGAGGUAGAUUGAGGUGAGGGGGAUGGAGGUAGAUUGAGGUGAUAUGGAGG
Oncorhynchus kisutch (coho salmon) is the source of this 105-nucleotide long non-coding RNA. RefSeq lists it as uncharacterized. The record is from RefSeq and is a predicted model, not a curated record. The transcript is spliced from 3 exons. Lineage: Eukaryota; Metazoa; Chordata; Actinopteri; Salmoniformes; Salmonidae.